Molecule: ribosomal RNA, 301 nt
Filed under: uncultured bacterium
Lineage: Bacteria
Description: partial 16S ribosomal RNA
Rfam family: Bacterial small subunit ribosomal RNA
Source: RNAcentral
CAGUAGCCAGGUAAUACGGAGGGAGCUAGCGUUGUUCGGAAUUACUGGGCGUAAAGCGCGCGUAGGCGGUUACUCAAGUCAGAGGUGAAAGCCCGGGGCUCAACCCCGGAACUGCCUUUGAAACUAGGUGACUAGAAUCUUGGAGAGGUCAGUGGAAUUCCGAGUGUAGAGGUGAAAUUCGUAGAUAUUCGGAAGAACACCAGUGGCGAAGGCGACUGACUGGACAAGUAUUGACGCUGAGGUGCGAAAGCGUGGGGAGCAAACAGGAUUAGAUACCCGGGUAGUCCCUGUCUCUUAUACA